UGUAGCUCAGUUGUAGAGCACUUGCCUAGCAUGCAUGAGGCCCUGGGUUCCAUCCUCAGCA
RNAcentral lists this transfer RNA (61 nucleotides) under Urocitellus parryii (Arctic ground squirrel). RNAcentral describes it as "Spermophilus parryii (Arctic ground squirrel) tRNA". It matches the Rfam family "tRNA", at positions 6 to 65 of the family's 71-position model. From Rfam's summary of the family: Transfer RNA (tRNA) molecules are approximately 80 nucleotides in length. Their secondary structure includes four short double-helical elements and three loops (D, anti-codon, and T loops). Further hydrogen bonds mediate the characteristic L-shaped molecular structure. tRNAs have two regions of fundamental functional importance: the anti-codon, which is responsible for specific mRNA codon recognition, and the 3' end, to which the tRNAs corresponding amino acid is attached (by aminoacyl-tRNA synthetases). tRNAs cope with the degeneracy of the genetic code in two manners: having more than one tRNA (with a specific anti-codon) for a particular amino acid; and 'wobble' base-pairing, i.e. permitting non-standard base-pairing at the 3rd anti-codon position. The record is from Rfam by way of RNAcentral. Lineage: Eukaryota; Metazoa; Chordata; Mammalia; Rodentia; Sciuridae. RNAcentral also lists the same sequence under 2 other names.